UAUACAACAUGUCCAGUAAACUGAUGAUUCGCUGCUUUGCGAGAUUGAAGUCAUAAAGGACAUGUUCAUUCCUUCAGCUCCUCUCCACGGGCUCUGUCCUCCUGCGGGCCCUCACCUUCCAGCAGGAUGAAGCAUGCGCACAAAUAGCACACCCCAGGCAGCGUCAAACCGUGCAGAUAAAGAGCCAGGGGAGAAAAGAGGCAGCUGGACACUUGAGCCAAGGAAGAACAUGAAGGAGUUGGCGUAGGACCUGUGCCUGGAAAGAUAGGCCACCUCCUUCUCAUAAGUGACAAAAAUCCAAUGCAAAAUCAUUUCAGCAAACAGAGAAUGUAUUGUUGCCCACAGCAGAGAAGUCCGAGGAGUGAACCGAGGCUUAGCUGAUGCCUGUCAGGCACAUUCUCCUGCCCCUUCAUCUCUUGGCCCUGCUCCCACGUUGGGUUUGUUGUCAGAUAGGAGAACGUCAGAGAAUAAAUGGUCACGGCAGCUCCAGGCUCAUGCAGUCUUGGAGCUGGAGUCACAGAGUCUCCCUCCAGGUGCCCUAUCCACCCUGAGCAAAGGCUGGCUGCUCAGCAAGGUCACGUCCCCCUCCACAGCUUCCCAAACAGGAAGGGACGAGGAGGGAAUCAGGAGAUGGAUGGAGAUGGUCAACAGGAGGGCGCGUUUUGGGAGAACACGUGUUCCUGUGUGUGGGGAGAAGGGGAAGAAAAGAAGCUGUGACUGAAAAAGAAGUUGGGAAUGAGACGGAGCCCUAGAAAGCCAUUCUAAAGGUAUGUGUGUGAUUUUUUCGGGAGGGCUGUGGAGGGUUGGUUAUUUUUAGGCACUGAAAAAAUAUUGAUGGUUAUUAAACAGAACAAUGACCAAGUGCAACUGGGAGUUAGGAAACAAGACUAUGGCCAUUCCAAGCACCACAGAGUCGGGAAUUCCUGGAAAUACAAGGAAUUCCUCGCUGGUCAUGAUAGAACCUUCCUGGAUGAUACAGGUAGAAUGGUCAUCUCUUCAGUCAGAAGCUGAGGUGAGCAGGCAGAAUAAUGCCUUCCAAGCAGGAGGAGUGGUAACUACUUCCUGUGGAAAGACAAUAGGAUAAGACAGCAAAAUUGUGAUCCUGAAGGAUUUCCAGUGAAGGAUGGUGGGGAAGCGGGAAUGUCAUCACGGUUUCUACUUAGAGAAUCCUAGUGUAUCAGGACAGCCAUACUGGCUGUUGAAAUAUGAA
Molecule: long non-coding RNA, 1210 nt
Organism: Equus caballus (horse)
Lineage: Eukaryota; Metazoa; Chordata; Mammalia; Perissodactyla; Equidae
Source: RefSeq, a predicted model, not a curated record